Molecule: ribosomal RNA, 397 nt
Filed under: uncultured bacterium
Lineage: Bacteria
Description: partial 16S ribosomal RNA
Rfam family: Bacterial small subunit ribosomal RNA
Source: RNAcentral
AUACGUAGGUGACAAGCGUUAUCCGGAUUUACUGGGUGUAAAGGGCGUGUAGGCGGUUUAGCCAGGCAGCAGUAAAAUUCCUGGGCUCAACUCGGGCGCUGCUUCUGAAACUGCAGUACUUGAGGGCUGGAGGGGCGAGCGGAAUUCCUAGUGGUGCGGUAAAAUGCGCAGAUAUUAGGAAGAACACCGGUGGCGCAGGCGGCUAACUGGACAGUAACUGACGCUGAGGCGCGAAAGCGUGGGGAGCAAACAGGAUGAGAUACCCUGGUAUUCCUCGCCGUAAACGAUGAAUACUAGGUGUAGGGGGUAUCGACUCCCUCUGUGCCGCAGUUAACACAAUAAGUAUUCCGCCUGGGGAGUACGGCCGCAAGGUUGAAACUCAAAGGAAUUGACGGGG